UAGCUAGUUGGUGAGGUAAGGGCUCACCAAGGCGACGAUCCCUAGCUGGUCUGAGAGGAUGAUCAGCCACACUGGAACUGAGACACGGUCCAGACUCCUACGGGAGGCAGCAGUGGGGAAUAUUGCACAAUGGGCGCAAGCCUGAUGCAGCCAUGCCGCGUGUGUGAAGAAGGCCUUCGGGUUGUAAAGCACUUUCAGUCGUGAGGAAGGUGGUGUAGUUAAUAGCGGCAUUAUUUGACGUUAGCGACAGAAGAAGCACCGGCUAACUCCGUGCCAGCAGCCGCGGUAAUACGGAGGGUGCGAGCGUUAAUCGGAAUUACUGGGCGUAAAGCGCAUGCAGGUGGUUUGUUAAGUCAGAUGUGAAAGCCCGGGGCUCAACCUCGGAAUAGCAUUUGAAACUGGCAGACUAGAGUACUGUAGAGGGGGGUAGAAUUUCAGGUGUAGCGGUGAAAUGCGUAGAGAUCUGAAGGAAUACCGGUGGCGAAGGCGGCCCCCUGGACAGAUACUGACACUCAGAUGCGAAAGCGUGGGGAGCAAACAGGAUUAGAUACCCUGGUAGUCCACGCCGUAAACGAUGUCUACUUGGAGGUUGUGGCCUUGAGCCGUGGCUUUCGGAGCUAACGCGUUAAGUAGACCGCCUGGGGAGUACGGUCGCAAGAUUAAAACUCAAAUGAAUUGACGGGGGCCCGCACAAGCGGUGGAGCAUGUGGUUUAAUUCGAUGCAACGCGAAGAACCUUACCUACUCUUGACAUCCAGAGAACUUUCCAGAGAUGGAUUGGUGCCUUCGGGAACUCU
This 796-nucleotide ribosomal RNA is filed under the name Vibrio neocaledonicus. RNAcentral describes it as "bacterial SSU rRNA". It matches the Rfam family "Bacterial small subunit ribosomal RNA", at positions 242 to 1030 of the family's 1533-position model. The record is from RNAcentral. Lineage: Bacteria; Pseudomonadati; Pseudomonadota; Gammaproteobacteria; Vibrionales; Vibrionaceae.